GUGCUCCUACGGGGGGCAGCAGUGGGGAAUAUUGGGCAAUGGGCGCAAGCCUGACCCAGCAACGCCGCGUGAGGGAAGAAGGCUUUCGGGUUGUAGACUUCUUUUCUCAGGGACGAAGCAAGUGACGGUACCUGAGGAAUAAGCCACGGCUAACUACGUGCCAGCAGCCGCGGUAAUACGUAGGUGGCAAGCGUUAUCCGGAUUUAUUGGGUGUAAAGGGCGUGUAGGCGGGAAAGCAAGUCAGAUGUGAAAACCACGGGCUCAACCUGUGGCCUGCAUUUGAAACUGUUUUUCUUGAGUACUGG
RNAcentral lists this ribosomal RNA (305 nucleotides) under uncultured bacterium. RNAcentral's name for it is "bacterial SSU rRNA". It matches the Rfam family "Bacterial small subunit ribosomal RNA", at positions 333 to 652 of the family's 1533-position model. The record is from RNAcentral.